This 285-nucleotide long non-coding RNA is filed under the name Phoenix dactylifera (date palm). Its description in RNAcentral is "long non-coding RNA (PDAC_LNC000876)". The record is from RNAcentral. Lineage: Eukaryota; Viridiplantae; Streptophyta; Magnoliopsida; Arecales; Arecaceae.
UGUGUAGGGGUUCUUACUGGGCUGUAAAGCUCACCCCCUUCUUCUUUCUCUUUCAGAGUUGCAGGAUGCAUACAUGGAUGGGUUGGGCGCAGAGAACGAGUAUCAGAGUUAUUAGCUAGCUAGUUAGUUUAUCUUUCUUGAUGAUGAUGAGCAUUUGAAGAUUUUGUAAUUGAAUUAAUUUGAUUAUCUGGACAUGUUCGAUUCGUCUAUCUAAAUAAAUGAAUUAAUUGUGGAUUGUAUUAGAUUUUUGUUCAUCUUAGGCCUUGCAUGAUCUUUAGGGCAUUG